Molecule: long non-coding RNA, 562 nt
Filed under: Trifolium pratense (red clover)
Lineage: Eukaryota; Viridiplantae; Streptophyta; Magnoliopsida; Fabales; Fabaceae
Description: long non-coding RNA (TPRA_LNC012460)
Source: RNAcentral
CACUACAAGAAAAACCUCAUUUAUUGACGGAAUUUAUCCCUCAAAAAGUGUCAAUUUCCGCUACUAACUACAUAUUUAGUGGCAGAACCAGUCUGCCAGUAAAACGUAUGCCAGUAAAUUUAUUGGCAGAAAUUCCCGCCACAAAAUUCGUCUAAAAGUGUACAGCAGAAUUCCCCAACUUAGUGGCAGAAUAAUCUGCCAGAAAGUGAAAAGCUUAGAAAGUAACUUAUUGCCGGAAGUUUUUGCCGGUAACUGUUUUUAAUUUUUUUUUUCAAAAAUCAAAAAAUGAUUCAGAACCACUCAAUUCCCUGCUGUAUCAGCUCUUUUUUUAAUUUUUUUUAAUAUUUAAAAACUAAAAAUUGAAACGUAUGAAGAAGAAAAAAGUGGAAAGAAAGAAAUCUCAGUCUCAGAUCUCCUUCCGAUCUACUUUCCACCGUCAUGCCACGCUCCUUCCAUCAUAGUUUCGCCGGAAUCGUCCCACCAAUACUAAUCUCUGCUUCAUCGAUGUUGAUACUUGCCCCGUCGAAGUUGCAGAGACGCCGAUUGAAUACGCUGCUCGCCG